CCAUGCCGCGUGUGUGAAGAAGGCCUUCGGGUUGUAAAGCACUUUCAGUCGUGAGGAAGGGGUGUCGUUAAUAGCUGCUUUUGACGUUAGCGACAGAAGAAGCACCGGCUAACUCCGUGCCAGCAGCCGCGGUAAUACGGAGGGUGCGAGCGUUAAUCGGAAUUACUGGCGUAAAGCGCAUGCAGGUGGUUUGUUAAGUCAGAUGUGAAAGCCCGGGGCUCAACCUCGGAAUAGCAUUUGAAACUGGCAGACUAGAGUACUGUAGAGGGGGGUAGAAUUUCAGGUGUAGCGGUGAAAUGCGUAGAGAUCUGAAGGAAUACCGGUGGCGAAGGCGGCCCCCUGGACAGAUACUGACACUCAGAUGCGAAAGCGUGGGGAGCAAACAGGAUUAGAUACCCUGGUAGUCCACGCCGUAAACGAUGUCUACUUGGAGGUUGUGGCCUUGAGCCGUGGCUUUCGGAGCUAACGCGUUAAGUAGACCGCCUGGGGAGUACGGUCGCAAGAUUAAAACUCAAAUGAAUUGACGGGGGCCCGCACAAGCGGUGGAGCAUGUGGUUUAAUUCGAUGCAACGCGAAGAACCUUACCUACUCUUGACAUCCAGAGAACUUUCCAGAGAUGGAUUGGUGCCUUCGGGAACUCUGAGACAGGUGCUGCAUGGCUGUCGUCAGCUCGUGUUGUGAAAUGUUGGGUUAAGUCCCGCAACGAGCGCAACCCUUAUCCUUGUUUGCCAGCGAGUAAUGUCGGGAACU
This 750-nucleotide ribosomal RNA is filed under the name Vibrio sp. 51BHI25. Its description in RNAcentral is "bacterial SSU rRNA". It matches the Rfam family "Bacterial small subunit ribosomal RNA", at positions 392 to 1139 of the family's 1533-position model. The record is from RNAcentral. Lineage: Bacteria; Pseudomonadati; Pseudomonadota; Gammaproteobacteria; Vibrionales; Vibrionaceae.